AUUGGCUCAGUUUUCUUUGGAAGAUGUUGUAAAUGUAAGAGAAUUGAAAGGCAGACCUGUUUCUACAGACAACAGAAGGGACAAAAGUGGAUCACUGUCGCCUCAAAACCAAUUGCUUCGGCAGGUGGGACUCAUCAACUUUAGACGGCAGCCCGCCUAGGAGAAGGAAAACUCUGAUUUCAAACCUCUGCUGCCUUGCGGCCAUACCCACCUAUGGGAAAGGCUUCAGCAGUAAACCCCGAGGAAGAAAUCCGGAGCCGGGGUCCCUAAGGCAGUUUGAUGUUAUUUACAACUUCACGCUGGCAACCUCUGUGACGACACUUGUGCCAAGAUGUAUCAGCACUUACCCUUCCCUUGGACUACAUUAGUGACGUGGAGAGGGGGAACCCGCUGCAUGGGCAACAGUCGGUUCUUCAAACCUUCCUGCCCAGGCUUGAGCCUUGGAGAGGACAUAGUCCACCAGAGACUUAAACCCAUGAUCCUCUGGGAUUGAUGGCUGCCUACUUGCAUUCUGUUCAGUGUUUAAUGAAAUGGUUGUACUUCCCAGAAUGGCUCUACUUUGAGUGACACUGCACAAGAAUGCUGAUAUGGCAACACGUGGCAUUUCUAAGGCUUGUACUUCAUCGUGCCUUAACGUUUCCCCU
Long non-coding RNA from Hypanus sabinus (Atlantic stingray), 644 nucleotides. RefSeq lists it as uncharacterized. The record is from RefSeq and is a predicted model, not a curated record. The transcript is spliced from 3 exons. Lineage: Eukaryota; Metazoa; Chordata; Chondrichthyes; Myliobatiformes; Dasyatidae.